This 212-nucleotide ribosomal RNA is filed under the name uncultured bacterium. RNAcentral describes it as "partial 16S ribosomal RNA". It matches the Rfam family "Bacterial small subunit ribosomal RNA", at positions 136 to 334 of the family's 1533-position model. The record is from RNAcentral.
UUGUGGAAUAACUUUCCGAAAGGGGAGCUAAUACCGCAUAACAUCAUGAAUGGGCAUCCAUAUAUGAUCAAAGCGGGGGAUCGCAAGACCUCGCGCCUGUUGAGGAGUCCGCGGCUGAUUAGCUAGUUGGUGAGGUAACGGCUCACCAAGGCAUCGAUCAGUAGCCGGCCUGAGAGGGCGACCGGCCACACUGGCACUGAAACACGGGCCAG